UUUCCGUAGGUGAACCUGCGGAAGGAUCAUUAAUCGAACAAACAUGUUUCUCAGCAUGAUAUGUCAAACCCCACCUGCGUAUCUUACCUGUUGCUUCCGUGCCGCGCAUGCCGCAAACGUGUGCCUUGCGGUCCUCCGAGUAUCUACUACUCUCAGGGCCCGUGGGAGCCGGCACGGGAGGGAACCCACAAACUCUUGCCCUUUGAAUGCCUUCUGUCUGAACUGUAGUACACGAAAAGUUAAAACUUUCAACAACGGAUCUCUUGGUUCUC
Molecule: unclassified non-coding RNA, 272 nt
Filed under: soil metagenome
Description: partial contains small subunit ribosomal RNA, internal transcribed spacer 1, and 5.8S ribosomal RNA
Source: RNAcentral